RNAcentral lists this ribosomal RNA (1578 nucleotides) under Gephyromantis klemmeri (Klemmer's Madagascar frog). Its description in RNAcentral is "16S rRNA". It matches the Rfam family "Bacterial large subunit ribosomal RNA". The record is from RNAcentral. Lineage: Eukaryota; Metazoa; Chordata; Amphibia; Anura; Mantellidae.
GCCUUAAAUCUAGCCUACACCACCAAUCAUAUUAAACCACUGCUAAUCAUAACACAAUAAAACAUUUUAACAGCUUAGUAAAGGAGAUUAAAAAACAUGUAAGCGCUAUAGAUUACGUACCGUGAGGGGACGAUGAAAUAAAUGAAAUAACAGUAAGCACUGAACAGAAGAGAUUUCCCCUCGUACCUUUUGCAUCAUGGUCUAGCUAGACAUAUCAAGCAAAAUGAGUUUUAGUUUGAACCCCCGAAACUAAGUGAGCUACUUCGAAAUAGUUUUAAGAACAAACCCGUCUCUGUAGCAGUAAAGUGGGAAAAUUUCCAAGUAGAGGCGAUAUACCUACCGCACUUAGAGAUAGCUGGUUGCUUAAGAAAAGAAUAUAAGUUCAACCUUAAGUUUCUUAAUUACAUGAAAAAAUAUAUAAAACUUAAGAGCUAUUCAAAUAAGGCACAGCUUAUUUGAAACAGGAUACAACCUUCGAUACUGGGUAAUAAUUAAGAUCAGGUUCUAAGUGGGCCUAAAAGCAGCCACCUCUUAAAAAGCGUUAAAGCUUAUCACCUACUCUACUUUAAUACCUUAAUAUACCUAUAACCCGUCAUCAGUACUGAGCAAUUCCAUAAAUAUAUGGAAGUUAUAAUGCUGGAACUAGUAACAAGAAAUAGACUUUCUCCAAAAUGUAAGCCUAAGCCACAAUAGACACACUACUGGCAGUUAACGCAAAUGAACAGACUAUAACAACUUUAACAAGAGAACCCUAUAGCCCUUAGCGUCAACCUUACACCAGAACAUUCCUGGAAAGAUUAAAAGAAAAAGAAGGAACUCGGCAAAAUUUAGCCCCGCCUGUUUACCAAAAACACCGCCUCUUGACAAAACAUAAGAGGUCCAGCCUGCCCAGUGAUCUAGUUCAACGGCCGCAGUACUCUGACCGCGCAAAGGUAGCAUAAUCACUUGUCCUUUAAAUGAGGACUCGUAUCAACGGCAUCACGAGGGCUUUACUGUCUCCUUUUUCCAAUCAGUGAAACUAAUUUCCCCGUGAAGAAGCGGGGAUAUACCUAUAAGACGAGAAGACCCCAUGGAGCUUUAAACCCAGCCACACCCCCUCCACACACUAUAUCCUCUCAGUAGUUCGGGCCCUGUGUGCUCGGUUUUAGGUUGGGGUGACCGUGGAGUACAAUAUAACCUCCAUGACAAACAAGAUUAUUCUCUUAUCCAAGAGCCACACCUCUAAGAAUUAACACACUAAUGUAAAAUGAUCCGACAAUCGAUCAACGGACCAAGUUACCCUGGGGAUAACAGCGCAAUCCAUUUCAAGAGCCCCUAUCGACAAAUGGGUUUACGACCUCGAUGUUGGAUCAGGAUAUCCCAGUGGUGCAGCAGCUACUAAAGGUUUGUUUGUUCAACAAUUAAAAUCCUACGUGAUCUGAGUUCAGACCGGAGUAAUCCAGGUCGGUUUCUAUCUAUAAAGAGCUUCCCCUAGUACGAAAGGACCGAGGUAGCGUGGCCAAUACACUAUUAAGCCACCCCAUCACCAAUGAACCCCACUUAAUUGGCCCAACUCUAACUGACCCUAGACCAGGGAUU